Long non-coding RNA from Centrocercus urophasianus (Greater sage-grouse), 1034 nucleotides. RefSeq lists it as uncharacterized. Lineage: Eukaryota; Metazoa; Chordata; Aves; Galliformes; Phasianidae. The record is from RefSeq and is a predicted model, not a curated record. The transcript is spliced from 5 exons.
GUCAAGACGAAUGGCUCAGAAAAUCCAUUAUGUUUCUGAAGUGAUGCUCCACAUGAUACAGGCUGCAUCUGAAGUACUAGGAUUCCUGACCAGAAUGGAUUAUGUAUGCUGAAUAGGCCAAUCUUGUGAAAGAGACUGUAUCAAUGUCUUCAUCUGAAAAAAAGGAAGGACGCAAAAGGAAGCGGAAGAUAACAGAAAGAAAAAUGUGGAAGAGUGGAUAUAUAUAACUGAUAAACAUGGACAACUUUAUCUCCUCCCAGUUCCAGUGUGGCAGCCAGAGGAUGUAACUCAGGAGGAAAAAACAUUCAGCUUCUGGGGAGACAUAUCCUAGUCAGCUCACUGGCGCUCAUCAUCGCACUAUACUAAAAGUUGGGGCAUUUGAGCUAAGGUUUCAGUUAUUGGUUGCUGUGAGAACAGUUAGACUCAUUACAAUCCAAUUUUUUUAAAGCUUCACAAGUUCUGGGAGUCUAAUGCAGAAGCUGGAAUUUUCCUACAGUGGAAGAAAUGACCCUUCACCCCUCCAGUUUGAAAUCACAAGGGAGGUGAAGGGAUACACCACACCAGAGGCUGACGGUCAAAUGGAAGAACAGCAAUCACCAGAGCCAGUUGUCUCUACCGGAGAGCAUCAGUCAGGAAGGAGUUGACAACUGAGCUGCCCUGGGGAAGGAAGGUUCGAUACCUUUGGCUUUUGUUUGGUUUAGCAGUUUGUUUCCUUAGCAAGACAAUAACAGGCAUCAACUUGGGACCAGAACAAAAAGGAACGUUUUAUAUUGCUAUUUAUUUUCAGACUGAAAGGAAAUUUUGCAGGCUGUUUUGAUGUUUCUAGUGGUGAAAAAUAAAAAGAAAAAAGAAAAAAAGGCUCUCACUUCUUUGAUACAGACUGGAGGAAAUAAGGAUAUGGAGCCUAAAUGUCUCAUCUUCAUGUAAAUGGGGCUGCCACCUCAGCCAGAUACACAAAAUUCAGGAGGGGUACAGAAAUGAAUUGUUCUACAGUUUGCAGAAAGAGAGGUACAAAUGCAGAGAAACCAGCCCAA